UACGUAGGCAGCGAGCGUUGUUCGGAAUUACUGGGCGUAAAGAGCGUGUAGGCGGCUUGUUAAGUCUUGCGUGAAAUCUCGGGGCUCAACCCCGAGCGGUCGUGAGAAACUGGCAGGCUAGAGUGCGGGAGAGGAGAGUGGAAUUCCUGGUGUAGCGGUGAAAUGCGCAGAUAUCAGGAAGAACACCCGUGGCGAAGGCGGCUCUCUGGAACGCAACUGACGCUGAGACGCGAAAGCGUGGGGAGCAAACAGG
RNAcentral lists this ribosomal RNA (253 nucleotides) under uncultured bacterium. Its description in RNAcentral is "partial 16S ribosomal RNA". It matches the Rfam family "Bacterial small subunit ribosomal RNA", at positions 524 to 776 of the family's 1533-position model. The record is from RNAcentral.